Molecule: long non-coding RNA, 1955 nt
Organism: Solenopsis invicta (red fire ant)
Lineage: Eukaryota; Metazoa; Arthropoda; Insecta; Hymenoptera; Formicidae
Exons: 2
Source: RefSeq, a predicted model, not a curated record
CCCAUUUUAAGGUCAUGCCUCGCUAACUUUCUUUUUACCAUUUUAUCAAUUCUUCAAUAAAAUUAGCGAAAAACAUCCAAACAUGUACUUUCGAAAGAGGUACAGAGGUAGAGAAAAAACAAUCGAGCUUUUUGUUUUCUAAAACAGAGACAGAGAGAGACUCUUUAACUAUUAUUAACUUUAAACUCUCCAAACAAAUAAUGGCUUUGCAACGUGUUAGAAGAGUUAAAGAAGUUAUCCUGGAACUAAAAGUAAUGGAAAUGUUUCUAAUUUUCCCCUGUCCUUCCAUUAGUUAAUCUUCAGGAUUAUCUCCGUCUAAUAAUUAAGAACUGCAAAUUUAAGAGAAAGUUUCAGAGUAGUUGCUUUCCGUGCUUUUCCGUGCGCGGAAAUAUAAGAGAAAGUUGAGACAUUUUCAAGAGUCACAUUUCAAAACGACAAAUAAAUAGCCGAAUCGUAUUUAUCAUUUAGACACAAGUUCAUGCAAUCGCUGACUUCACUUAUCGGGUCAAUAAAUUCACGUGCAACGCAGUAACAAAAUCAAACAAACAUUAAGCAACAUAAAAAAUUUUAUAUUAUUCAUUUUCUUAUCAAAUUUUAUAUAACCAAGUUCUAUAACUCCUUCAAUGUUUUUCUACUCUAUCCUAGAAUGCGUAAUAAACACUCGCCAUGUAAAUUUUAAUAGCGGUACUUCGAUUGCAAACGAAAAACUGUAAUCAAAAUGCAAUCUUCAUGCGCGACGAAUAAUCAACGUCACGUGGCACUUCCAACUUUAUGUAACAAAGUUGUGCAACUAUGCCUCAUUUUCAGUUCUUUUUACUGCUUGUUAAAAGUGCAAUAAACGUCUGUCAUAUAAAUUUUUCCGGAACUUCAUUCGAACUUGGAUUCUCUUGCGCGCGAAGUUGUUACCUCUUUAAUAUUUAAAAGUCUGGCAUUGUCAGACGGCAUGUAAAAUACAUGAUAUAAAUGCAAAAUGAUUUCCUUUUAAAAUGAUUGCCAAACCAAACGCGAACGAGCUGAUACCGGCGAUGAGUAUUUCAAUCAAUUUACAUGCUUUCGGAGGACGGGGACUAAUUCAGUAUACCGUCCAAUGCAUUUUAAGUGUGUUUAUUUGCAUAAGCCGUUUCGCCUAGUUUUACGAUAAUAUUUACUUUAGAGCCCAGAUGUUGCGGAUGUUAGAAAUGCGGAUCGAUGAUGAUACGUAAACGUUCAUCGUGUAUAGGAAUGAAUACAAAGGCUUUUGUCAUACCGUCGCGGCACUACAAGCGCAAAGAAUCAGUUUUAUUUGAAUAUGCGGUGGCACGUAUGCGAUGAGAAUUCAGUUCACGUCAGAUACGUGUGAAUUAAAAACUCUGGAAUAGACCGCCAUCUCUGCGAGAAGCAAAUGUAUCACCGCGUAAUUUGCAAAGCAAGAACAAAAAAAAAGAACGGGGAAAACGGGAGAGAUAAAGGAGACAGAUAAAGGGUGCGCGCACAAAGAUAACUCGGCUGCGACUCGGCGUAUCAUUAGCGGAGUCUAAUGAAUCCAUUCGCAAUUUCGUGUACCACAGGAUAACUGUCGGGAACUAGAAGGAUUAAGUAAACAGGAAGAUUACGCGGAUAGAAAUUACUCAGGCAGAUUACCUAGCUGGACAAGAAUGGAAACGGUACAUGCAAAAAUAUAUCCACCCGAGGCUUUUCCGCUAAGCCGUCUGGCUUCAUUCUCUAGACCCGAAAGAGAUAAGUGUGCGUCUUAUCGUCGUCGUUCAUAACAUAGUAUACCGCGGAGACUACGGCGAGUAUUUUCCACCAUUUCGCGUCGCCUGCGUCCAAAUUCCCUCCAUUCUAUGUAUGGUCAUGAUCGAGUGAAAAAAAAAACACAUAAUCUCUAUUAUAAUUAUACGAAAGAUAAUUCGGUAAUAUCUAAACUAAUUUUCAUCUGAUAUGAGAAGUAAAAUAGAAAUCGAAUGCGUACUUGA